Molecule: transfer RNA, 71 nt
Filed under: Ictidomys tridecemlineatus (thirteen-lined ground squirrel)
Lineage: Eukaryota; Metazoa; Chordata; Mammalia; Rodentia; Sciuridae
Description: Spermophilus tridecemlineatus (thirteen-lined ground squirrel) tRNA
Rfam family: tRNA
About the family: Transfer RNA (tRNA) molecules are approximately 80 nucleotides in length. Their secondary structure includes four short double-helical elements and three loops (D, anti-codon, and T loops).
Source: Rfam by way of RNAcentral
GGGGAUGGAGCUCAGUGGUAGAGCACUUGCCUGCACAUGCAAGACCCUGAGUUCAAUCCCUAGUAUUGCCU